Molecule: long non-coding RNA, 246 nt
Filed under: Capsicum annuum
Lineage: Eukaryota; Viridiplantae; Streptophyta; Magnoliopsida; Solanales; Solanaceae
Description: long non-coding RNA (CANN_LNC001118)
Source: RNAcentral
UGAUAUUUGCCAAAGACACUUCCUUUGUGCCAUUCAUGCUAAGCUUUUCAUGUCACACACAAAGGACCCAUGGGUAUAUUCCGAAUGUGAACAACCUUGGCUUGAUGACAUAUGUGAUAGUUUCAGAUUGCCCUUCUCUUUCCUUGAUGUUUAUCUUAGCCAUGUCCUUUGUGAUGCUUGUGGUAUGUGUUUCAUGAUCAUAACAAAGGAUUGUUGGUUGUAUUCCAAAAGUGUACCCCCUUGGCA